UGGCGGACGGGUGAGUAACACGUAGGUAACCUGCCUUUAAGACUGGGAUAACCCGUCGAAAGACGAGCUAAUACCGGAUAAGACCACAGUUCCUUCGGGGAUAGGGGUCAAAGGUGGCCUCUGCAUGCAAGCUAUCACUUAGAGAUGGGCCUGCGCACCAUUAGCUAGUUGGUAGGGUAACGGCCUACCAAGGCAAAGAUGGUUAGCUGGUCUGAGAGGAUGACCAGCCACACUGGGACUGAGACACGGCCCAGACUCCUACGGGAGGCAGCAGUGGGGAAUCUUGCGCAAUGGGCGAAAGCCUGACGCAGCAACGCCGCGUGGGUGAUGAAGGCCUUCGGGUCGUAAAGCCCUGUCGGAAGGAACGAAUUCUUCCGCCACGAAUAAUGGCGGAAAGUGACGGUACCUUCAAAGGAAGCACCGGCUAACUCCGUGCCAGCAGCCGCGGUAAU
RNAcentral lists this ribosomal RNA (452 nucleotides) under uncultured bacterium. RNAcentral's name for it is "bacterial SSU rRNA". It matches the Rfam family "Bacterial small subunit ribosomal RNA", at positions 96 to 524 of the family's 1533-position model. The record is from RNAcentral.